This 422-nucleotide ribosomal RNA is filed under the name uncultured Glomeraceae. RNAcentral describes it as "SSU rRNA". It matches the Rfam family "Eukaryotic small subunit ribosomal RNA", at positions 459 to 886 of the family's 1831-position model. Lineage: Eukaryota; Fungi; Glomeromycota; Glomeromycetes; Glomerales; Glomeraceae. The record is from RNAcentral.
GGGAGGUAGUGACAAUAAAUAACAAUACAGGGUCCUUAUGGGUUUUGUAAUUGGAAUGAGUACAAUUUAAAUCUCUUAACGAGGAACAAUUGGAGGGCAAGUCUGGUGCCAGCAACCGCGGUAAUUCCAGCUCCAAUAGCGUAUAUUAAAGUUGUUGCAGUUAAAAAGCUCGUAGUUGAAUUUCGGGGUUAGCAGGUCGGUCGUGCCAAUGGUAUGCACUGGCUCGCUGACUCCUCCUUCUUGUAGAACCGUAAUGCCAUUAAUUUGGUGUUGCGGGGAAACAGGACCGUUACUUUGAAAAAAUUAGAGUGUUUAAAGCAGGCCAACGCCUGAAUACACUAGCAUGGAAUAAUGAAAUAGGACGUUCGAACCUAUUUUGUUGGUUUCUAGGAUUGACGUAAUGAUUAAUAGGGAUAGUUGGG